RNAcentral lists this ribosomal RNA (253 nucleotides) under uncultured bacterium. Its description in RNAcentral is "partial 16S ribosomal RNA". It matches the Rfam family "Bacterial small subunit ribosomal RNA", at positions 524 to 776 of the family's 1533-position model. The record is from RNAcentral.
UACAGAGGGUGCAAGCGUUGUUCGGAAUUAUUGGGCGUAAAGCGCGUGUAGGCGGCUUUGCAAGUCGGGUGUGAAAGCCCUCAGCUCAACUGAGGAAGUGCGCCCGAAACUGCAGAGCUUGAGUGCCGGAGAGGGUGGCGGAAUUCCCCAAGUAGAGGUGAAAUUCGUAGAUAUGGGGAGGAACACCGGCGGCGAAGGCGGCUAUCUGGCCCGUAAUUGACGCUGAGGCGCGAAAGCGUGGGGAGCAAACAGG